AUUGAACGCUGGCGGCAGGCCUAACACAUGCAAGUCGAACGGUAACAGAAAGCAGCUUGCUGCUUUGCUGACGAGUGGCGGACGGGUGAGUAAUGUCUGGGAAACUGCCUGAUGGAGGGGGAUAACUACUGGAAACGGUAGCUAAUACCGCAUAACGUCGCAAGACCAAAGAGGGGGACCUUCGGGCCUCUUGCCAUCGGAUGUGCCCAGAUGGGAUUAGCUAGUAGGUGGGGUAACGGCUCACCUAGGCGACGAUCCCUAGCUGGUCUGAGAGGAUGACCCGCCCAACCGGAACUGAGACACGGUCCAGACUCCUACGGGAGGCAGCAGUGGGGAAUAUUGCACAAUGGGCGCAAGCCUGAUGCAGCCAUGCCGCGUGUAUGAAGAAGGCCUUCGGGUUGUAAAGUACUUUCAGCGGGGAGGAAGGGAGUAAAGUUAAUACCUUUGCUCAUUGACGUUACCCGCAGAAGAAGCACCGGCUAACUCCGUG
This 490-nucleotide ribosomal RNA is filed under the name uncultured bacterium. RNAcentral describes it as "partial 16S ribosomal RNA". It matches the Rfam family "Bacterial small subunit ribosomal RNA", at positions 30 to 507 of the family's 1533-position model. The record is from RNAcentral.